Molecule: ribosomal RNA, 460 nt
Filed under: uncultured bacterium
Lineage: Bacteria
Description: bacterial SSU rRNA
Rfam family: Bacterial small subunit ribosomal RNA
Source: RNAcentral
GAACGAGGUAAGUAUUGGAAGGUCUUCGGACCGGAAGAUAUUUACCGAGUGGCGGACGGGUGAGUAACGCGUGGGUAACCUGCCUCAUACAGGGGGAUAACAGUCAGAAAUGGCUGCUAAUACCGCAUAAGCGCACAGUGUCACAUGACACAGUGUGAAAAACUCCGGUGGUAUGAGAUGGACCCGCGUCUGAUUAGCUAGUUGGUAAGGUAACGGCUUACCAAGGCGACGAUCAGUAGCCGACCUGAGAGGGUGACCGGCCACAUUGGGACUGAGACACGGCCCAAACUCCUACGGGAGGCAGCAGUGGGGAAUAUUGCACAAUGGGGGAAACCCUGAUGCAGCGACGCCGCGUGAGUGAUGAAGUAUUUCGGUAUGUAAAGCUCUAUCAGCAAGGAAGAAAAAAGACGGUACUUGACUAAGAAGCCCCGGCUAACUACGUGCCAGCAGCCGCGGUAAU